AGAAUCAACGCUGGCGGCGUGCCUAACACAUGCAAGUCGAACGAGAAAGUGGAGCAAUCCAUGAGUAAAGUGGCGCACGGGUGAGUAACACGUGACUAGCCUACCCUUGAGUGGGGGAUAACCUAGGGAAACCUGGGCUAAUACCGCAUAAUACCUUCGGGUCAAAGGAGCAAUUCGCUUAAGGAGGGGGUCGCGGCCGAUUAGUUAGUUGGCGGGGUAAUGGCCCACCAAGACUGUGAUCGGUAUCCGGCCUGAGAGGGCGCACGGACACACUGGAACUGAAACACGGUCCAGACUCCUACGGGAGGCAGCAGUGGGGAAUUUGCGCAAUGGGGGAAACCCUGACGCAGCAACGCCGCGUGGAGGAUGAAGUCCCUUGGGACGUAAACUCCUUUCGAUCGGGAAGAUAAUGACGGUACCGAGAGAAGAAGCCCGGCUAACUUCGCGCCAGCAGCCGC
RNAcentral lists this ribosomal RNA (458 nucleotides) under uncultured bacterium. Its description in RNAcentral is "SSU rRNA". It matches the Rfam family "Bacterial small subunit ribosomal RNA", at positions 26 to 518 of the family's 1533-position model. The record is from RNAcentral.